Non-coding RNA from Ceratotherium simum simum (southern white rhinoceros), 521 nucleotides. Lineage: Eukaryota; Metazoa; Chordata; Mammalia; Perissodactyla; Rhinocerotidae. The record is from RefSeq and is a predicted model, not a curated record.
GAUAAUAAUUUAAUUAUAGAAGCUUACAUUCUCUUAAUAUUUGUUGUGCAGCUAGGAUUGCAUUUUUCUAUUUUAUUUUCUCUGUAGAAUCUCUCCAAGAAGUAGGGAAAAUCAUCCAAGUCCAGAAGAGCUAGAAGAAAAAGAUGAAGAUAUUCAAGCUGUAAGAGUGAAAAGGCAUUCACUACUCCAAACUUGGAUGAGAAACCAGUCCUAAUGGCAAGCUGUUUACACAAGGAAUAUAAAGAGAAAAAGAAAAGUUGCUUUACAACAAGAAAGAAGAAAAUAGCCAUUAGGAAUGUUUCCUUCUGUGUUAACAAAGGUGAAGUUUUGGGAUUGCUGGGACACGAUGGAGGUGGCAAAAGUACUUCUAUUUAAAUGAUAACUGGGGACACAGAGGCCACUGCAGGAGUGGUAUGUGGCAUGUAAAGGAACAAGUGUAUUGCCAGGGGAAAUUUCAUUUUAAGUAUCAAUGGCAUCCUUAUAUUAUUCCUUUGUGAAUUCCAUGAUUUUGUAAAAAAUGA